This 250-nucleotide ribosomal RNA is filed under the name uncultured Selenomonas sp. Its description in RNAcentral is "partial 16S ribosomal RNA". It matches the Rfam family "Bacterial small subunit ribosomal RNA", at positions 103 to 339 of the family's 1533-position model. Lineage: Bacteria; Bacillati; Bacillota; Negativicutes; Selenomonadales; Selenomonadaceae. The record is from RNAcentral.
CGGGUGAGUAACACGUAGACAACCUGCCGACAGGAUGGGGACAACAUUCCGAAAGGAAUGCUAAUACCGAAUGAAGUCGAGGGAAGGCAUCUUCCUUCGAUGAAAGAUGGCCUCUUUUUAUGCUAUCACCUGUCGAUGGGUCUGCGUCUGAUUAGCUGGUUGGUGAGGUAACGGCUCACCAAGGCGACGAUCAGUAGCCGGUCUGAGAGGAUGAACGGCCACAUUGGGACUGAGACACGGCCCAGACUCC